UACGUAGGGGGCAAGCGUUGUCCGGAUUUAUUGGGCGUAAAGAGCUCGUAGGUGGUUUGUCGCGUUGUCCGUGAAAACUCACAGCUCAACUGUGGGCGUGCGGGCGAUACGGGCAGACUGGAGUACUGCAGGGGAGACUGGAAUUCCCGGUGUAGCGGUGAAAUGCGCAGAUAUCGGGAGGAACACCAAUGGCGAAGGCAGCUCGCUGGGACGGUACUGACGCUGAGACGCGAAAGCGUGGGGAGCAAACAGG
Molecule: ribosomal RNA, 253 nt
Filed under: uncultured bacterium
Lineage: Bacteria
Description: partial 16S ribosomal RNA
Rfam family: Bacterial small subunit ribosomal RNA
Source: RNAcentral